This 156-nucleotide unclassified non-coding RNA is filed under the name soil metagenome. RNAcentral's name for it is "partial internal transcribed spacer 1". The record is from RNAcentral.
CUGAGUUAUCCAACUCCAAACCACUGUGAACUUACCACUGUUGCUUCGGCGGUUUCGUCCCAGGCGCCCUGGCGCGACCUGGAGCAAGACGUCCGCCGGAGGAUUCAAAACUCUUGUUUUAUAUUGUAUCAUCUGAGUGGGUUUACAAAUAAAUCA